GGAAGGAGCAGCCUCACGUCUCAUCCACCCAGGACUUGCAGGUGGUCUCUGCAUCUGGAAGCGCCCCCUCCCGCUGCUGCUGUGCCCGUCACCUCCAGACACUCCCUCCUGCUCGUCUUCUGACUCCUGAGAGUGCAUGUGUGGUUCUGACCCUGGUGUGGAGAGAUGCCUCUUCGCUUGUGGGACGAUAGAGUCUGCGCUUCAUCACCAGAUGAGAAUAAUAGCAGCUCCAUCAUCGAACUAGAAAGAGACAUACAGGAUAUUCAAACCUGGAAUGACAAUGAGUCCAAAGAAUCUUUGGUGAUCCAGGAACAAGAAGUCAGUUAACGAUGGAAACAUGCCUUGGGAGUAAGUCACAGGAUAACGGUGGUGAAAGUAAAGUCCGAUGCUGUAAAGAACAAUACUGCAUAGGAACCUGGAAUGCUAUUAAUAGACCCAUGAAUCAAGGUAAAUUGGAUGCGGUCAAGCAGGAGAUGGCAAGAGUGAAUACUUACAUCUUAAGAAGUAGUGAAAUAAAACGGAUAAGAAUGGGAGAACUUACUACAGAUGACCAUUAUAUCUACUGCUGUGUGCAAGAAUCCCUUAGGAAAAAUGAAGUAGCCCUCAUAGUCAACAAAAGAGUCUGAAAUGCAGCACUUGGGAGUGGGUUGCACUUGGGUGCAAUCUCAAAAAUUGACACAAUGAUCUCAGUUCAUUUCCAAGGCAAGCCAUUCAACAUCACAGUCAUCCAAGUCUAUACCCCAACCACUAAUGCUGAAGAAACUGAAGUUGAAUGGUUCUGUGAAGACUUAUAAGACCUUCUAGAGUUAACACCAAAAAAAAAAAAAAGAGAGAGAGAGAGAGAGAGAGAAAGGAUAUCUUUUUCAUCACAGGGGACCGGAAAGCAAAAGUAGGGAGUCAAGAUAUACCUGGAGUAACAGGCAAGUUUAGCCUUGGAGUACAAAAUGAAGCAAGUUAAAAUCUAACAGAGUUUCAGGAAGUCAAGAGAACACACUUGUUCCGAAGAUGGAGGAGAAUGGAAGAGAGGAACAAAUUCACUGUAUUUUUGCACAAAUUCAGGUUCUCGAGCUUUGAGAAUGGGGAAGAAAGGCAAGAGGGGUUGGAUUUUCUGCUUAGUUUUUGUGUGGUUGUGGCCAAUUUAAGAUGCUUACAAGCAGUUCUUGCUAAAGACUGCCACAAAUGCAUGGAGGCAGUUGGAAGGAGGUUGUGUUUAUCUUAAAUAAUCAGCUCCCAGGUAUUCAAUCAACAAUAAGUAUUAGGCACUCCCUCCAUGCUAGACAGCCCAAUAGGCUCAGGGGCUGCCCUGAAAAUAACAGUGAAUAAGCUUCCCACCUUCCUGGAGGCCACACACAGUUACAGCCUGAGUUGUGUCCCUUAAAAUGUGUGUGUUGAAGUUCUAAACUCCCACUACCUCAUAAUGUGACCUUAUGGGCCUUUAUAAGAUGCAGGCUGCGUGCCAAGUUGCUUCAGUCAUAUCUGACUCUUUGGGACCCUAGGGACUGUAGCCCCCCAGGCUCCUCUGUCCACGGGAUUUUCCAGGCAAGAAUCCUAAGUGGGUUGCCAUGCCCUCCUCCAGGAAAUCUUACUGACUCAAGGAUCGAACCUGUGUCUUCUGCAUUUCAGGUGGAUUCUUUGCUGUCUGAGCGACAUGGGAAGCCCUCUUUAUGACAUGAAAGUGAAAGUGAAAGCCGCUCAGUAGUGUCUGACUCUUUGUGACCCCAUGGACUGUACAGUUUAUGGAAUUCUCCAGGCCAGAAUACAGGAGUGGGUAGCCUUUCCCUUCUCCAAGGAUCAUCCCAACACAGAAAUCAAACCCGGGUCUCCUGCAUUGCAGCCAGAUUCUUUACCACUGGGGUAUCAGGGAUAUCUUUAUAUCCCUGAUAUAUCCCAGAUAUCUCCCUGAUAUAUCUGAUAUAUCCCAGAUAUCUUUAUGAUAAUCAAGAUACCUCAAGGAUAUAUCAAGGAUAUACCAGAUAUAUCGAGGAUAUACCAAGGAUAUCAGGGAUAUACCAGGGAUAUACCAGGCAUAUCAGGGAUAUACCAGAUAUGCCAGAUAUAUCCCUGAUAUAUACCAGAUAUCUUUAUGAGGUAAUCAAGCUCAAAUAAGUCCAUUAACUUUGGGCUCUACUUCAACAGGACGGCUGUCCUUAUAGAGGGGAAAUUUGAACACAGGGAAGAUGACGUGGAGGCAGAGGGUGGUGUGGAACAUUUAUAAGCCAGGCAACACCAGAGGCUGCUAGAGGCUCGGAGGGAGGUCUGGAGUGGACCCAUCACCUGCCCCUUCAGAGGGAGCCUGGCUCCACCAGCCUCUUGAUCUCAGACUUCUGGUCUCCAUAAUCAUCAGACAAUACAUUUCUGCUGUUCUAAGCCACUCAAUAUGUAGCAGUUCAUUAUGACAGUCCUGGUAAAUUAAUACACACAUUAAUCAAGUAAAACUCCAAAUGAAGAGGGGUGUUCAGGACUUCAGGCGUCAGAGGGUCUUUCCUGGUCACAAGAUAGGGCCAUGCUGAGCUGAGUGGAGCCUGUGGGUGGACAGGCAGAAGGGCAGUGGAGGGGGUGAAGCCCAUGACCCAGAGGGGAACAGUGAGCGGUCCCCAGGCCUCCUGUGAGUGUGGGCCAGGCAGCCCCAUCCUCUAAUGGGAAAUCUGAGACUUGACACAGAAGGUCAGAUUCACUCAUCGGCAAAAGUCUUUCCAGAUCUGUAAAUACCUCACUGAUGAGAUUAAGGCACCUCCUCGAAAUCCCAUCAGGAAGCAAGCGUGCAAACAGCACUAAUUAAAGACUGAGACCGUCUCACAGCCUGUAAAGCAUCAGCCUUGAGCGAACAAGAGGAAUAUGUAGCCGGCAGUGGGAGUGGGAGGCGGGCAUGUGUGCUCUUCCAAGCCCUGUCUCGGAGGAUGGAUGCCCUGAUUUCAGGUGUCCCCUCCCAGAUCUUCUUCUGGAAAUAGCCUGGUGUUGAGAAGGACGCCGUAUCUCGCUGCCACAGCACACUGGAAACAUCCCUAAAGAAUACCCGACUCGUUUUGCUCCAAUUUUAUGCUCACCAAGCAACCUUUUAAAUUCUAAUUUGGUGUCUGACUAGGUGAUUUCUCUCUAGGCCCUGAGCCAAGAUUAUUCUCAGAACCAGCCUUUAGGCUGCAAAUGAAGAGGGGGCAGCAUUGUGACCCCCCGAUAGGACCGUGCAAGGCAGAGAAGUGGAGGAAGCAAGAACUGAGUGAUGGGCAGUGAGGAGGAGUGAGGAGCAGGGGGCCAGAGUUCGCCCAGAACCAGGUCUAGCCGGCCCAGCUGGCAGCCCCGGAAGGGGAGCGAGGCUGUUAACCCCAGGCAUGUGAUCAAUGGGUCCCAUGGAACCUAGAGAAGGCAGAGCCCCACUAAGCAAGCAGGCUGACAGGAGUCAAGGUCACUGACUUCCACCAACGAUGUGGCCCUGGAUCAGUGGGGCCCGGAAGACAGCAUCAGCCUCCAACAAGCCCUGCAAGGCGGCUCCCCUGAGACUCACAGGCAGCCCCCUCCGCACUGCCAAAGCCCCUCCCCCUUUGCUCCCCAGACAUCUGGCUCCAGCACCCAGCUCAGUGUGUUUCUUGCAGUUCUGCUAGGGUUGUACAACCAUUGAGAGUUGGGUGAAAGGUAAAACCAGCUUCACGUUAUUCUCCUCUGCAUAGGUUUUCCUUUCCUUAAGCCACACCCCACUAAUGCUCACAUUAAUGGUGAAAUAGAUCAUAACUCAAAACUAAUGGAGAAUUAUCCUGUAAGAUCCAGCCGGCAGACUCUCUAAUUCAUUGAAAUUCUUGUCCAGUAUGAGAUAAGAUGAUUGUGUUAAGUUUAAAAUGUGUGGCUCCUCCGUCCAUGGAUUUUCCAAGCAAAAAUUCUGGAGUGAGCUGAAUUUCUUCUCCAAGGGACCUUCCAGACCCAGAGAUCCAACCUGGGUCUCUUGCAUUUCCUGCACAGGCAGGAGAGUUCUUUACCACCACACACCUGGGAAGCCCAUUUAAAAUAUACGGUCAUAAAAUUGCAAAUCAACUAUUUGUUGUUGUUCAGUCACUAAGCAUAUCUGACUCUUUUUGACCC
Molecule: long non-coding RNA, 4068 nt
Filed under: Capra hircus (goat)
Lineage: Eukaryota; Metazoa; Chordata; Mammalia; Artiodactyla; Bovidae
Description: lncRNA (ENSCHIG00000003990.1)
Source: RNAcentral